UACAGAGGGGGCUAGCGUUGUUCGGAAUUACUGGGCGUAAAGCGCGCGUAGGCGGCUUUGUAAGUUAGAGGUGAAAGCCCGGAGCUCAACUCCGGAACUGCCUUUAAGACUGCAUCGCUAGAAUUGUGGAGAGGUAAGUGGAAUUCCGAGUGUAGAGGUGAAAUUCGUAGAUAUUCGGAAGAACACCAGUGGCGAAGGCGACUUACUGGACACAUAUUGACGCUGAGGUGCGAAAGCGUGGGGAGCAAACGGG
Molecule: ribosomal RNA, 253 nt
Filed under: uncultured bacterium
Lineage: Bacteria
Description: partial 16S ribosomal RNA
Rfam family: Bacterial small subunit ribosomal RNA
Source: RNAcentral